RNAcentral lists this long non-coding RNA (1053 nucleotides) under Triticum aestivum (bread wheat). RNAcentral describes it as "long non-coding RNA (TAES_LNC006711)". Lineage: Eukaryota; Viridiplantae; Streptophyta; Magnoliopsida; Poales; Poaceae. The record is from RNAcentral.
CAUCAAGUACUUUGCCGUCAGUUAGGCUAUGUCUUUGCUGUCUUCCUCGUAUGCCCAGACGGCAAAGCAAAUAUUAUUAUUUUAAAAAAUGAAACAACACUACAAGUGCAGAGGCCAUAGAUGGCCGAAGGCGUAUGGAAAAUCUUUCACAGCGAUGACGAACGAAUGGAUUUUUACAAGACAGAAGUAUUCUAUUUACAUACUAUAUCCAUCAUCACAAUAUUUAUAGAAUAUAAUGUUCUCCAUUUAUAGGAAGAAUGAACAAACCAAACACAAAAAAAACGAUUACAAAACGGACGAACUGGCCCUUGUCAGCGUCCACAUCUGAGCACGGGCGUCGAGCUAGAGGAGGCGAAUGGUGGUGUUCCAGCGGAGUUGACCAUGGCGCCAUGGAGCCCCUAGAUUGGAGAAGUACAGGGCACAGUUAAAGCAAUAUCAGAUCCAGGGUAAUUCCAGUUUAAGACAAACUUCUCGUGCCCAGGAAGCCUACCAGAUCUAAUCGCCCUCCGCCUCAAACCCUAGAUCCGGGUGCCACAAGGAAGGAGAGCAGCCUCUGGGCCUUCUUCACGCCCGUCGCAUCGCUCAUCAUCUCUAGGAUGCUCGUCGGCAGCACCAUCGUCGCUGCCCAUGGAGCCCUCCGUAUCCCAGAGGACCUGCCAUGUUGAAGGGCAACAACAGUUGACGAGCAGGGGAGGAAGCUCCCGCGCCGGUGAGGCAGAGUCGACCAGCGGCGGUUGAGUAGCAAGGGAGGAGGAGAAGGCGCCGGGUCACGGGCGGGGAGGACGAGGAAGAUCCCACGUUGGCCUCCGGCUCAGGCAACGGAGAGGCAGGGUCGAGCGGUGGCGGUUGACGAGCAGGGGAGGAGGAGGAAGAUCCCGCGCCGGCCUCUGCUUAGACGACGGUGAGGUGGGUCGACCGGCGGCGGUUGAUGAGCAGGGGACGAGGAGGAGCUCUGGACCGGGUGAAGUGUGUGCGACAGAGAUGGGAUCGAGGGAGAGAUGAGGUCGGGCGUGUAACAAAGAUUGUGGUGGGGCCGUAGGGAUAAGAGAGAGA